RNAcentral lists this unclassified non-coding RNA (241 nucleotides) under soil metagenome. RNAcentral describes it as "partial internal transcribed spacer 1". The record is from RNAcentral.
CACAAAUAUGAAAGCAGACCCUCAAUUGGGGCGUAACGUCACGCCGUGUCCGCAAUAAGCGUCAUUGCUGUUGUGCUGACGCGGCGGGGGGUAACGCCCUUUUGGGCCAGUCUGACUCCAUAUUCACCCAUGUCUUUUUGCGUACUACUUGUUUCCUUGGCGGGUUCGCCCGCCAAUUGGAACCCAAUUAAACCUUUUUUGUAAUUGCAAUUCAGCGUCAGCAAAACAAUGUAAUAAAUUA